CCUACGGGUGGCAGCAGUGGGGAAUAUUGGGCAAUGGGCGCAAGCCUGACCCAGCAACGCCGCGUGAAGGAAGAAGGCUUUCGGGUUGUAAACUUCUUUUCUCAGGGACGAAGCAAGUGACGGUACCAGAGGAAUAAGCCACGGCUAACUACGUGCCAGCAGCCGCGGUAAUACGUAGGUGGCAAGCGUUAUCCGGAUUUACUGGGUGUAAAGGGCGUGUAGGCGGGACUGCAAGUCAGGUGUGAAAGCCACGGGCUCAACCUGUGGCCUGCAUUUGAAACUGUAGUUCUUGAGUACUGGGGAGGCAGACGGAAUUCCGAGUGUAGCGGUGAAAUGCGGAGAUAUUAGGAGGAACACCAGUGGCGAAGGCGGUCUGCUGGACAGCAACUGACGCUGAGGCGCGAAAGCGUGGGGAGCAAACAGGAUUAGAUACCCGGGUAGUC
Molecule: ribosomal RNA, 443 nt
Filed under: uncultured bacterium
Lineage: Bacteria
Description: partial 16S ribosomal RNA
Rfam family: Bacterial small subunit ribosomal RNA
Source: RNAcentral